GACGAACGCUGGCGGCGUGCUUAACACAUGCAAGUCGAGCGGUAAGGCCCUUUCGGGGGUACACGAGCGGCGAACGGGUGAGUAACACGUGGGUGACCUGCCCUCAGCUCUGGGAUAAGCCUGGGAAACUGGGUCUAAUACCGGAUAUGACUCCAUGACGCAUGUUGUGGGGUGGAAAGCCUUGUGCGGCUGAGGAUGGGCCCGCGGCCUAUCAGCUUGUUGGUGGGGUGAUGGCCUACCAAGGCGACGACGGGUAGCCGGCCUGAGAGGGCGACCGGCCACACUGGGACUGAGACACGGCCCAGACUCCUACGGGAGGCAGCAGUGGGGAAUCUUGGACAAUGGGCGCAAGCCUGAUCCAGCGAUGCCGCGUGUGUGAAGAAGGCCUGCGGGUU
This 395-nucleotide ribosomal RNA is filed under the name uncultured bacterium. Its description in RNAcentral is "bacterial SSU rRNA". It matches the Rfam family "Bacterial small subunit ribosomal RNA", at positions 28 to 424 of the family's 1533-position model. The record is from RNAcentral.